CUCCUCGUAGUUCAAUGGAUAGAACGAGUGCCUCCUAAGCGCUAGAUCCAGGUUCGAUUCCCGGCGAGGGGACCA
RNAcentral lists this transfer RNA (75 nucleotides) under Georgfuchsia toluolica. RNAcentral's name for it is "Arg tRNA". It matches the Rfam family "tRNA". From Rfam's summary of the family: Transfer RNA (tRNA) molecules are approximately 80 nucleotides in length. Their secondary structure includes four short double-helical elements and three loops (D, anti-codon, and T loops). Further hydrogen bonds mediate the characteristic L-shaped molecular structure. tRNAs have two regions of fundamental functional importance: the anti-codon, which is responsible for specific mRNA codon recognition, and the 3' end, to which the tRNAs corresponding amino acid is attached (by aminoacyl-tRNA synthetases). tRNAs cope with the degeneracy of the genetic code in two manners: having more than one tRNA (with a specific anti-codon) for a particular amino acid; and 'wobble' base-pairing, i.e. permitting non-standard base-pairing at the 3rd anti-codon position. Lineage: Bacteria; Pseudomonadati; Pseudomonadota; Betaproteobacteria; Nitrosomonadales; Sterolibacteriaceae. The record is from RNAcentral.